AAAAGUUCACUAAAAUUUUUUUUACAUUUCAAAUCAAUGGGGAAAAUAUAUGUUAUGAAUUAAAGUUCCCUGGUAGCCUAGUGGUUAAGGACCUGGUGUGGUCAUUGCUAUAGCUCCGGUCACUGCUAUGGUGUAGGUUCAGUCCCUGGCCCAGGAACUUCUGCAAGCCAUAGGUACAUCCAAAGGAAAAAAAAAAAAAGAUAUGUUAUUGAAUAAAUCAUGUUGAAAAUAACUGGAUACGUACCUCCCAACACCAAAAUAAAUUUAAAUGGAUCAAAAACAUUUGGAGGAGUUGCCUUCGUGGCUCAGUGAUUAACGAACCAGACUAGCAUCCAUGAAGAUGCAGCUUUGAUCCCUGGUCCCAUUCAGUGGGUUAAGGAUCCAGCGUUGCUGUGUAGGUCACAGAUGCAGCUCUGAUCCUGUAUUGCUGUAGCUGUGGCAUAGGCCAGCGGCUACAGCUCCGACUGGACCUGAGAACCUUCAUAUGCCACAGAACCUUCAUAUGCCUGAGAACCUUCAUAUGCCACAGGAGCAGCACUAAAAAGACAAAAAAAAAAAAAAAAAAAAAGAAAGAAAGAAAAAAGAAGAAUUUUGGCCUUGCCCACGGCAUGUGGAAGUUUCUGGGCCAGGGAUAGAACCUGAACCACAGCAGUAACUAAAGCCACAAAAGUAACCUGAACCACAGCAGUGACAAUGCUGGGUCUGGGUCCUUAACCUGCUGAGCCACAAAGGAACUCCCGAAUGGAUCAGAUAUGAAAUGUUGUUAUUACCAAACCAUAAAAGGCCAGAAGAAAACAUAGAAUUGAUUUUUUAGGAGUUCCUGUUGUGGCGCAGUGGUUAACGAAUCCGACUAGGAACCAUGAGGUUGCGUGUUCGGUCCCUGCCCUUGCUCAGUGGGUUAACGAUCCGGCGUUGCCGUGAGCUGUGGUGUAGGUUGCAGACGCGGCUCGGAUCCCUCGUUGCUGUGGCUCUGGCGUAGGCCGGUGGCUACAGCUCCGAUUGGACCCCUAGCCUGGGAACCUCCAUAUGCCGAGGGAGCGGCCCAAGAAAUAGCAACAACAACAACAAAAGACCAAAAAAAAGACCAAAAAAAAAAAAUGUUUUAUCCCUUUACAAGAAAAAUUAAUGCUAAUAUAUAAAAAUAAAUCAUUUCUGCAUUUAGAGGAAUCAUGAACAAAGUCAAAAGACAUACAGCAGGAGUUCCCGUCGUGGCGCAGUGGAAAUGAAUCUGACUAGGAACCAUGAGGUUGUGGGUUCGAUCCCUGGUCUUGUUCAGUGGGUUAAGGAUCCGACAUUGCCGUGAGCUGUGGCAUAGGUCACAGAUGCAGCACGGAUCUGGCAUUGCUGUGGCUGUGGUGUAGGCCAGCAGCUGUAGCUCUGAUUCCACCCCUAGCCUGGGAACCUCCAUACGCCCAAAAAGGCAAAAAAAAAAAAAAACAUACAGUAAAUGUGCGCAGGGUAUCUUCACACAUUUGGCCCUUCCAGAUGCCCUCUCUACUCAGCUCCACCCUGCUCUCCAUCUUGUGAAGCUGGCCUGCAGGGGCCUCAGCCACAGAUUCCCUUGCACUGGGUUUCUAGCAGGGCCCCUGGAAUGGAAGCUCUAAUUAGGAGACUGGCAUCUCUCCCAGCAGCUCUUUUCCAGGGAAAGCUCUGGUAACAGCUCCCUCUAGUGGCAUACAUCUGGCAACGCAACUGCCUGGCUGAGUGGAGCUGCUAACUUAACCGGGGUCACCUCUGGCCUGGAGUUGGAACACGCCCUACCUUGCCCCAGACUUUGAAAUGGGCCUCUUUUAAAAUGCUGCUUCUUUUGUGUACAAACCUCAGGGCACGCCAGUAUGCAUAUUCUCGUGUAUCUGCAGGUUCAUGUGUGAGCCUUCUCCCUGUGAUUACACUGAGCACUCCCUGAGGACAGGAUCCAGUUGUCAUUUUCCUUGUUGCAUAAUAAUUUAAUCCUGACAACAAUCCCAUGGGGCACAUGCUAUUAUUUACGCCUUUUUACAGAUGAGAAAACUGAUGCCCCGAUCAUCACAUAAAUUGUCCAGCAAGUAAGGGGCAGAGCAAAGACUCAGACCCAAGGGGGUGGGAUGGCAAAGCGCCUGCCCUUCGGUCAACACUAGAUAAACAGGCAGUGAGCCUCAUGGCAUGGAGGGGGAAACUGAGGUCUGGAUAGGCACCUGGCAAGCCGAUGUAGACAAGGCUAAAAAGCCAGCCUUCAUUCUUCCCAGCCAGGCCCCCUCCCAGGAUUGGAAGACCAUCCUGCUCCUGCCAGCUUUCCACCCAGCUGGGCAGGCAGGUAGUAGGUGUGAACAGAACAGGAAGGCUCUGAACUCUCUGGCCCUUGCCCUGUACCUCCAACUUGGAAUCCAAAGGAGUCCUGGCCUUCUUGGCCCUGUGCCCCCCCAGGGACACACUUGAUAUGUAUGACAAGGGACUGCCUUCUCCCCAGGCUACUCCUCAUCUCACGCAGGCCCCCCUCCAAGGGCAGGUGGAAGUCCUUGUGCUUAACCACAGCUGUGCCUGUGCUAAGCCUGUGCUAAGCCCCUACAGAGUCCAGGAAAGCAGCUGACCCGGGAAGAGGCCAGGAGCUCUGAAAUGAGCACACUCAUUAGCGCAGUCCUGCUCCCCUGCACACCAGCACCCCCUUUGAGGUCUGUUUCCCUGGAGGGGUGUGCAUGCCCAGGAUACUGGAAAGCCUGCACCACAGUCUGCCCUCCCAGGGGAUAAUGAGAGGGACUCCAGGAAUGGUCAUAGCCCACACCUCCCCCCUGUGACUUAAGCUGCCACCACAGGCCUCCCACCUGGGGUCAGCUCUGCCUCCAGGCUCCUCUCCCGAACUCUAGGCCCCUCCUCCCGGCAGCCAAAUCCUCACAUUCUCCUUGCCCCAGAAAAGGCGGAAUCUGUCCCUAUCGCCAACCUGGAAGACUUCCUAGACACUUGCUACAACUGUUUUCUUCAAAUUCUACAUUUUUUCCCAGUAGCUGGACUUACUAUGCCCCACUUCUCCUUCCCCUGCCAAAAAGAAGUCAGGCUUGUGAUAUUCCGGGAGGAGAGUUCUGCUCCCCAGCAGCUGUCCAAUUCUGAGCCCCUCUUCCUAACCCCAGAUCUCAGGUCAGGAUCGGCCCCCAUCCUUCUGCUUGGAGCUGGAGCAGCAAUAAUGUAAUUUGGGCUGCUCCCUCGUGGCCAAUCAGAGAAAUACAGGCUUCUUGAAGCCACUGAUUCCAUCACCUCCUGUAGCCCUGGAGACCCCAUCCCAAAUAAACAGACAAUCUAAGGAAAAGUGAGUUUAGCCUCAAGUCCUUCCCACCCAGAAACUGUCCAGAGGACUCUCCCUGCAAUCCCUUCCCCUUCAUUCCCUGGCCUGGUCUUCAGAGACCCACCCAAAGUAGAAAUUACACAUCCAGAUUACUUUUUUUUUUCUUUCUGGGCUGCAGGUGUGGCAUGUGGAAGUUCCCACCUAGGAGUCGAAUUGGAGCCACAGCAAUGCCGGAUCUGAGCUGCAUCUGUGACCUACAGCACAGCUCAUGGCAACACCAGGUCCUUAACCCACUGAGUAAGGCCAGAGAUUGAACCUGUAUCUUCAUGGACACUAGUCAGGUUGAUCACCACUGAGCUGGGAUGGGAACUCCCCAGCUUCCUGAUGGGAGUUCAUCUUCUGUUCUCUUACUUUCAGAGACAGGGAACUCACUACCCCAAGGCUGACCCAUGACCUUUUCUGUUCUGGAGGUAAUCAGGAACACUGAUGGUGUUGACCCACCCCUGAUCUCCUAGGACUCACACUGCUCACUCACCUGGAGCAAGAGGUGAGCACACAGGGUUACAGGUGCACCGACUGGCACAGAGAUGGGCAUGGCCAGUGCUAAAAGAACCUACUCCCCCGCCUACAUCUUCUUAGGGGUCUCAUAAUAAAAGGAAUUAAACCCUAGAAUCUUAAAGAUAUCUUGGGUCAGGCUGCCCCCUUAAUUCUGCUCUAGAAUCAGCCAGAGUCCCCUGAACACUUGCUCUCUGCCAGGUCCCUCUUGGUGCUUUACCCCACUUAGUGCUCACAACAGUCUGAGGGCAGCAUGCUCAUGCCUGCCAGGCAUCUGGGCAUGGGGUGCCAAGGGGGAGGUCACCUGCCCAGGACGACAUGGCCAGUCAUUUGCAGAGUCAGACAUGACUCUGGUGACUCCUGCAGCUCCUGCAGAAUACCCUGCCCCAAUGCAUGACAUCUGGGCCCAAGCAAGGUCUGCUGAGAAGGUUUGGAGCAGACUGUGAGGCCAGAAGUUUGAUCCCAGCCUGCCCCCUCAUGCCCCUCCCCUCCAGCCCUGCCUCCACCAGCGGCCCCACUUUGGGACCCAAGGUUAUCCCACUCAGACCCUCCUGCCCUGCCCCAGCAGCUCCUCUAAACCUCAGUGGAGGACUGGCAGGAAGGCUGUGAACAUGUGCCCCAGCUCACUGCCCCUUUACUGCCUAGCAACUGGUGACCUGGGGCCUCUGAAGUGGCCUGGCAUCUGAGAGCAAUUCUCUUGGGGCAGGGGAGAGAGCCAAGGCUUUGAGGAGGUCCUGCAAAUCACUUUCUGUGGGCCCCCCUUGCCAUACAGAUAAGAUCUAGAUGCUACUGUUUUCCUUGAAAGAUGAUGAUGAAGUGAAAUCAAAUGUAGAAACACCCUGCUGUUCAGAAGAGCAUGCCUGCCUUCUUGGCCUCACCUUGCUCUUGUUACUCAGGGGAACCCCAGAGGGCGUCAGCAAUGCUCAGGCCAGUCCAGGCACUCGGGGCCAGCAUGGUGGUGGCCUUGGAAUCAGAAAGCAGCCCAAGGUGGGGGACCCUGGGGAACUCUGGCAGCCAGGUGCUGAUCUGGCUGUCCCCCACCAGCACCCCGUGUGGAAAAAGCCCUUCCAAAGGCAGACAAUAGCCAGUAGGAGUGGUUUCUGGAAGGGCUGGAUUCUGCCUCUCUGUGAAGGGAUGACCAACCCACUCAGGCUUUCUGAAAAAGGCCUUAUCUCCUCCCUUUCUAGCUGCGCUGGGUUCUCUGUCCUCAUCUACCCUGGCCAGCCCUGCUCAGAGCCUGCCCUGCGGCACUCCUAAUUGGCGAGGGUCAGCUCUGUCUCUGGUCCUAAUUGAGCCCAGGACAGGGUCUUACCCAGGCUCCUAGAGGCCAGUUUUUCCAGAGCAGACACCUGCUCUGCAGCUAAGGCCCUGGGGCUGCUGGCCAGAGCUGGGUGAUUUUGCUCUGCCUGCAGACCCAUCACUUUCUCUUGCCCUUGGGAUCUGCACUCUGGCCACUAGAAGGCGCUGUUCCCCCUCAGGCCCGAUGCGACCACAGGCCCGCAUCAUGGAAGAUCAAAUUCUAAGAGACCACAGAAGGCAGAUCAUGGUGGGGAGUUCAAGGGAAGACAAUGGCCUUUGUCUAACCGCUCCUAUGAAUCUGGCACUUCCCACGCAGGACCUCACCUCCCCCUCUAGCCACCGCAGUGGGGGCGGGAGCGGGGGUGGGGGCAGGGGGCUAAGUCACAAACGACAGAAACCAACCUCUAGCUAACAAGCAAAAACCAAACAUGCUGUACACCAAAGCAGCAGAAAAGAGAGUCACUCAAAGAAGACCGCCACAAAGGGGACAGCCAACGUCAGGCCUCCAGUGCAGUUUGAACAGGAUGCUGCCGCCCCGGCCUCUUGGCUCCCAGCUGCAAUUAAAAAAACUCUUCACGGGUCCCUAGCAUUUGUGGCUCUGCUUCCCUCUGUUGCACACCCUCUCCCUAGCUGACUUGAAGCCUCACAUUCUCUCUGCACCACAAGGUUAUGGAAGCAACCAGCUCCUCCCAAGCUUUGGCCCUACCACUCCCACCUCCAUCAUUCACUCCUUCAACGCCCCCCAGGCUAGGUCCCUGUCUACAUCAAGCACCUAGGACCCGGGCUCCCAGACUCAGGCAGGCCUGCCUUUCCUCUGAGGCUGCCUCCCUCACUGCUGACUGGUCACAUGGCGGGGGACUGGCUGCACUUUGUGUGCCUGAAAUUGGAGUUGCAUGGCCCCAGGAGUAGGGAGAAGAGUCUGGGGGUAAGAGGACCAGCUCUACAACCAGAACUGGCUUUAGCUGGAGAGACAUGUGAUCCAGACCUCCAGGAGGCUACCUCUACGACAGGAGAGCACUCCUGGAGACCCAGCGGUUAACGGGAGGGGUCUAAGAUGGGCUGGGAGGGAGGACAACAGGGGGGCAGACAAGGGCCUUCUCCUUGGGAUGGGAGCCCUGAGACCUGUGGCAGGAAUGGCAGCCAGAGACCCCAAGGAGAAUUCAGUUGCUCACUAAUUCACUCAACACACAAUUACUGGAGCUCCAGCUGUGGUGCAACAGGAUCAGGUGCAUCUUGGGAGCGCUGGGACGCAGAUUUGAUCCCUGGCCCAGCACAGUGGGUUAAGGACCCGGUGUUGCCAUGGCUGUGGCUUAGGUCAAGACUGUAGCUCAGAUCUGAUCCCUGGCCCAGAGGCUCCAUAUGCGGCCAAAAAUGAAACACACACACACACACAAUUACUAUUACAGGUUCUGUGCACCCCAUGGAGAGACAGCCCCAAAACUCCCCACCCAGACACCCACUCUUCAGAACUAAAUUCUGAGGGGGGCUUAAAAACCAAAGGGAAGGGAGGUUUCCCUCCAGGUCCCCUGGAGCCCCCUGACAAGGGCCCUCCAGACCCCGUUCCUGACUCAGGGAGUUUCUAGAACCUCCUCAGCUCAGGUAGGGUCUCCUCCCAGCCCAGCUCCCCACACUCUUCCAAAAGCUCCACAGAUCUCAGCGAGGGAUACACAGGCUUAUUCACAGAUACUCCUGGGCAAGAGGCUUUGCAUGUGAUUUGCAGAAGCUUGGCCUGAGGCUCGACAGCACCCAGCUGUUCUCCCUUUGCAGCCCAGGCCAGGCAAACCUCUGCUCCUUCCCCCCGCCUGUCCCCGUCCUACAGCAAGUUUCCAACCCAGAACCCCACCAUGCUUUCCCCCACACAGUCCCCAUGAGAGAGUCAGAAUAACACCAACUAGGCCUCCAAUUUGUGAGGCUGAGCCUGGGUCUGGGUGGAGGUUGGUCCAGCCUGACUUGGUGGUGAAUCUGACUAGCACCCAUGAGGAUGCAGCUUCAAUCCCUGGCCUCUCUCAGUGGGUUAAAGGAUCCAGCGUUGCCAUGAGCUGCAGUGUAGGUCAGAGACACUGCUCGAAUCUGGCUAGUUGCUGUGGCUAUAGCAUAGGCCAGAGGCUACAGCUCCGAUUCCAUCCCUAGGCUGGGAACCUCCAUAUGCCACGAGUUCAGCCCUGAAAAGCAAAAAAUAAAAAUAAAAAUAAAAAGACAAACACCUGGCAGGUGAGGGUCUCUGGGCAGCCCUGAGAGGGCAGCAUCAACCUGUAAGAGGCUUUGUGAGCCCAGGACUCGGGGUACAAAGAACCACGGAAGUUCUGGUCCUAUCCAGCCCCAAGGACUCCAGUGCCUGGAAAAUAGUAAACACACCCUCCACAUUUGUGAAUGGAUGGAGGAGGGCUACAGCUCAUGAGCCAUCGUGAAACUGCAGGCUCAGGAAUAGAAAAAAGCCUCAGGAAGCUGGACUGAACACUCAGAGGACAGCAGGGGAGAGCCUAUUUCAGGAGUCAGAGAAAACAUAUUCAUCUCACUGCCAGUGAGUGCAAGUGAGCCUUGGGCCAAAACACUGUGCUAAGUGAUUAACUUUUCAGCAUCAGAAGUUAGGUGACUUUUGCUUAAGGUCACACAGCUGGGCAGGAAUGAGGCCAGGCCAGUCUCUAACCCAGAAGCUGUUAAAAUAAAUUGGGUAAGAAUGAUACAAUGGCAUCCUGAAAUCUCCCUUC
RNAcentral lists this long non-coding RNA (7815 nucleotides) under Sus scrofa (pig). Its description in RNAcentral is "lncRNA (ENSSSCG00060075272.1)". Lineage: Eukaryota; Metazoa; Chordata; Mammalia; Artiodactyla; Suidae. The record is from RNAcentral.